UACGGAAUGUGCAAACGUUAUUCGGAGUCACUGGGCUUAAAGAGUCCGUAGGCGGCUUGUUAGGUGAGGUGUGAAAUCCCUCGGCCCAACCGAGGAAUUGCGCUUCAAACCGGCAAGCUAGAGGAGGAUAGAGGUGGGCGGAACUGAUGGUGGAGCGGUGAAAUGCGUUGAUAUCAUCAGGAACACCGGAGGCGAAGGCGGUCCACUGGGUCCUAUCUGACGCUGAGGGACGAAAGCUAGGGGAGCGAACGGG
RNAcentral lists this ribosomal RNA (253 nucleotides) under uncultured prokaryote. Its description in RNAcentral is "partial 16S ribosomal RNA". It matches the Rfam family "Bacterial small subunit ribosomal RNA", at positions 524 to 776 of the family's 1533-position model. The record is from RNAcentral.